GGGGGUGAACGGUUUCGACUCUGGACGUUGAGCCAGGGGAAGCGUGCCGGUGCAGGCGACUGACCACCGUAAGCGUCGUCGUGAACAAACAAGCGCCAAGACUAAAGCAAGUCAGCGCGACUUCGCCCUCGCCGCCUGAGCGAGCGCGAAGCGUUGUCGGCUCGGGAGCGCCUCCGGCCCGAUAGCCGGCAUCAGCGAGGAGGCUCACCGCUUCGCGGCGGCCGCGGCUGCGUAGCGGGACAGUCACAGCGGCUGGGCCCGUCACACCGGCUUGUUCACGUGACCGGUGGGGCCGAGUAGAGGCACAGUGAACUGCGCACGGAGAAGCCCUGGUGAGGCGACAGAGGACCCGGGUUCGAUUCCCGGCACCUCCACCA
RNAcentral lists this transfer-messenger RNA (377 nucleotides) under Thermocrispum agreste. RNAcentral describes it as "Standard tmRNA". It matches the Rfam family "transfer-messenger RNA". From Rfam's summary of the family: Bacterial tmRNA, also known as 10Sa RNA or SsrA, is named for its dual tRNA and mRNA-like properties. Its role is to liberate the mRNA from a stalled ribosome. The record is from RNAcentral. Lineage: Bacteria; Bacillati; Actinomycetota; Actinomycetes; Pseudonocardiales; Pseudonocardiaceae.